RNAcentral lists this ribosomal RNA (694 nucleotides) under Aplastodiscus cochranae (canebreak treefrog). Its description in RNAcentral is "partial 16S ribosomal RNA". It matches the Rfam family "Bacterial large subunit ribosomal RNA", at positions 1897 to 2767 of the family's 2925-position model. The record is from RNAcentral. Lineage: Eukaryota; Metazoa; Chordata; Amphibia; Anura; Hylidae.
UAGGGUAGCGGUGUGUAUUAAGUGCCCCCAUCCCAACCUCGGUAUCCUAACGGUGCAGGUACGUAUCCUUGUUCUUUAAAUGAGGACUAGUAUGAACGGCAUCACAAAGGUUGCACUGUCUCCCCUUUUUAAUCAUUGAAACUAAUCUUCCCGUGAAGAAGCGGGAAUGCUUUAAUAAGACGAGAAGACCCUAUGGAGCUUUAAACGAUUUGACACUUGCUGUCAUUUUACUCCUCUCAGGAACCUCACAAAAACACAGCACGAUGAUCACAAGUUUUCGAUUGGGGUGAUCACGGAGUAAAGACUAACCUCCACGCCAAAUGAGCUCAGCCUCUGAGCUGUAAGCCACAACUUUACGCACUAAAAAAUUAAUGUCUCUUGACCCAAUAAUUUGAUCAACGAACCGAGUUACCCUAGGGAUAACAGCGCAAUCCACUUCAAGAGCCCCUAUCGACAAGUGGGUUUACGACCUCGAUGUUGGAUCAGGGUGUCCAAGUGUGAGCCCCUUAUAUGGUUCGUUUGUUCAACGAUUAAAACCCUACGUGACGACUUAAACAAAGAUCCUGAAGAUAGUGAGUGCCGGAUCUCACCUAUUAUACGAGAGUUACGGGAGGCGACCACCCACCCCUCCAUAUUCUUUUUCCUGACUUUUUUAGACAACCACACACACUCAAAAAUGAGGAGAGGAGGAUAA